AGAGUCUUGACAUGUUCCAACG
Molecule: microRNA, 22 nt
Filed under: Plutella xylostella (diamondback moth)
Lineage: Eukaryota; Metazoa; Arthropoda; Insecta; Lepidoptera; Plutellidae
Description: pxy-miR-8495-5p
Source: miRBase by way of RNAcentral